AUGGCUGGCGACGACGAGGAGUGGACCGACGACGAGGAGUGCACCGAGGAGUACGAGAAGGCUGCGGCGGCGAUCGUGGCUCGGGCUCGGGCUCGGCAGAUGACCAGGCUAGGCGGCGCUAAACCCAUGAAACGGCUGCAACACGAGCAGGUCAUCUACAUCCUGUCGCUGGAGAAGGACGGCAUUGACUACGUCACCGGCCGCGGCCACCGGUACACGCCGGAGAAGAUGAAGAGUAUCGUGGACAUCCACAUGGAGGGCGACGACGAGAUCGAUGAGCGGCAGGCCCGGGUGAUGCGGCAGCUGAGUGAGAAGGGGUACGUCGUGGCCGACGACACCUACCUGGGCGAUGACGAGGAGUACAAAGACGAAUACAAUAAGUUGAGCGAGAUACGGUGGGAGAGACUCAUGGCGCCCAUCUUGAGUCGCCGUCUUGCUCGCAUGGGAGUCACCGCCGAAAACGACGACAACGAGGAGGACUACUAUUCGGAGGAGGACUACUCGGAGCUGGGAGAGGCGGAGGGCGAGAAUCCAGAUGACCAACAGAUACCAGCAGAAUAG
Molecule: ribosomal RNA, 561 nt
Filed under: Triticum aestivum (bread wheat)
Lineage: Eukaryota; Viridiplantae; Streptophyta; Magnoliopsida; Poales; Poaceae
Description: partial small subunit ribosomal RNA
Source: RNAcentral